This 274-nucleotide ribosomal RNA is filed under the name uncultured bacterium. RNAcentral describes it as "partial 16S ribosomal RNA". It matches the Rfam family "Bacterial small subunit ribosomal RNA", at positions 523 to 796 of the family's 1533-position model. The record is from RNAcentral.
AUACAGAGGGUGCAAGCGUUAAUCGGAAUUACUGGGCGUAAAGCGCGCGUAGGCGGCUUGGUCAGUCGGAUGUGAAAGCCCCGGGCUUAACCUGGGAAUUGCAUUCGAUACUGCCAGGUUAGAAUGUAGUAGAGGGAAGUGGAAUUCCGGGUGUAGCGGUGAAAUGCGUAGAUAUCCGGAGGAACAUCAGUGGCGAAGGCGACUUCCUGGACUAACAUUGACGCUGAGGUGCGAAAGCGUGGGGAGCAAACAGGAUUAGAAACCCCUGUAGUCC